AGUGAACGCUGGCGGUAGGCCUAACACAUGCAAGUCGAACGGCAGCACAGUAAGAGCUUGCUCUUACGGGUGGCGAGUGGCGGACGGGUGAGGAAUACAUCGGAAUCUACUUUUUCGUGGGGGAUAACGUAGGGAAACUUACGCUAAUACCGCAUACGACCUACGGGUGAAAGCAGGGGAUCUUCGGACCUUGCGCGAUUGAAUGAGCCGAUGUCGGAUUAGCUAGUUGGCGGGGUAAAGGCCCACCAAGGCGACGAUCCGUAGCUGGUCUGAGAGGAUGAUCAGCCACGAUGGAAGAGAGAACCGGUCCAGACUCGUACGGAAGGCAAGAGUGGGGAAUAUUGGACAAGGGGCGCAAGCCUAAUCCAGCAACCCCGGGUGGGUGAAGAAGGCUUUCGGGUUGUAAAGCCUUUUUGUUGGGAAAGAAAAGAGGCGGGUUAACUCCCGGCUGUUUUGGCGGUACCAAAAGAAAAAGCACCGGUUAAUUUGGU
RNAcentral lists this ribosomal RNA (491 nucleotides) under uncultured bacterium. Its description in RNAcentral is "partial 16S ribosomal RNA". It matches the Rfam family "Bacterial small subunit ribosomal RNA", at positions 29 to 506 of the family's 1533-position model. The record is from RNAcentral.